UGUCCUAGCGGCGAACGGGUGAGUAACACGUGGGCAACCUGCCCCUAGCACUGGGAUAACCCCGGGAAACCGGGGCUAAUACCGGAUAUCACUUCAGAAGGCAUCUUCUGUUGUUGAAAGGGUUUACUGGCUAGGGAUGGGCCCGCGGCCUAUCAGCUUGUUGGUGGGGUAAUGGCCCACCAAGGCGACGACGGGUAGCCGGCCUGAGAGGGCGACCGGCCACACUGGGACUGAGACACGGCCCAG
This 246-nucleotide ribosomal RNA is filed under the name uncultured bacterium. RNAcentral's name for it is "partial 16S ribosomal RNA". It matches the Rfam family "Bacterial small subunit ribosomal RNA", at positions 88 to 334 of the family's 1533-position model. The record is from RNAcentral.